UACGUAGGGUGCAAGCGUUGUCCGGAAUUAUUGGGCGUAAAGAGCUCGUAGGCGGUUUGUCGCGUCUGCUGUGAAAACUCGGGGCUUAACUCGGGGCCUGCAGGCGAAACUGUGGUGCUGGAGUAUGGGAGAGGUGCGUGGAAUUCCCGGUGUAGCGGUGAAAUGCGCAGAGAUCGGGAGGAACACCAAUGGCGAAAGCAGGUACCUGGACUAUUACUGACACUCAGCUGCGAAAGCUAGGGGAGCAAACAGG
RNAcentral lists this ribosomal RNA (253 nucleotides) under uncultured bacterium. RNAcentral's name for it is "partial 16S ribosomal RNA". It matches the Rfam family "Bacterial small subunit ribosomal RNA", at positions 524 to 776 of the family's 1533-position model. The record is from RNAcentral.